Molecule: long non-coding RNA, 3859 nt
Filed under: Heterocephalus glaber (naked mole-rat)
Lineage: Eukaryota; Metazoa; Chordata; Mammalia; Rodentia; Bathyergidae
Description: lncRNA (ENSHGLG00100032780.1)
Source: RNAcentral
UUUUUUUUCUUUGUACCGGGGAUUGAAUUCAGGUUCUUGUGCUUGCACAGCAGGCAGCGAAACCAUUGAGCUAAAUCCCCAGCCCUGGAUAGACACAAUCUUUAAAGAAACUCAUGUUGCUUAGAGUAGUGAACAUGAAGUAGAGUAUUAGCUGCAUUGUCUUUAUCUUUUUUUUAAAUUAAAGGAGAGUAGAUUGUUAGUCAAUUCUUUCAUCAUAAAUUAAUGGAGACUUCCUGGAAGAUGGUGGAGUGGUGAACAGCAGAGAGGGAGCCUCUCCGAGAUUUGGUGUCCUGACACUGGAAUAUAGCAGCAUGAGGAGGAGAAGGAGGAGGGAAGUAGGUCCCUGAAACCCAGGAAGGGUCUGAGUUGAGAAUUGAAAUCCACUGGGAGACUGAAGAGAGUGAUUUUAACGAAGAAGAGGUAGGUAGCAAGCAGUGCUCUAUCCCAGAGUCUGGACUCUGUGAGGGAAAGGCAGGCCAGCUGUGCAGAUGCUGGCGACUCCAGAGGCCUCCACGGAGAAGCACACCAGGGGAACACAGCAGUGGAUGCAGCCGAGUGCAGCGGAGUACAGCGGCUGCAGGUCUUGUCAGAGUUGUUCUAUGUAAACAAGAUCACUGGCUAACAUCCCAAGGAAAGCAAGUGCAUCCAACAAGUCUUCCAGGUGGAGCAAGUGGCAGACAGCGGCGCGGGCACCUGAGUUAGAAUCUAGUCUGUGCCUCUUAUCAGCUCUUCGACUUUGGACAGGUUGGACAAUCGUAACUGGACUUUCUUCAUCUAGAACAAAGGCUGAGCAGAGAAGCUGAGAAUCUUGUGGAGGACCAGCAGCCAUCCUUCUAGCUUCAGGAAAAAUCCGACAGUGAGGCUGGCAGAGAAGAGCCCCUCUGGACUUCUUUUUAUGUCAUCAAGAGGUGAGCAGCUUUGCUCUACCACAUGGUUGUCCCCACCAUGAUAUUCUACCUCACCCUAGGUCGAGAAGCAAUGGAGCCAGCCAGCCAUGCACUGAACCCUCCACAACUGUGAGCCAAGAUAAACCCUCCUCCUACUCCGUGCAGAUGGCGGGAUUGUUCACAUAGCAGGACAGAUUUGCCAUCAAAGGGACAAGAAAUCUUGGCAGGAGGCACGUGAGUGCCAGUGGCGAGUCUCUCGUUGAUCCUGGCAUCUGUCCAGCAGAUCCUUCCUUUUCAGUGAAUGAGGAAGAAAGACCGCUUAUUCUGCUCUGCCAAGGCUAAUCAGACUCAAGUUUUCCCAGCACUGGAACUUGCCAGCUUUCAGCUGCAGAGAGAAAGCAGAUACAUUUUAGGAAAGAACAACAAAUGCACAUUCCCUUCAACCUUGAACCCCGCACAACUUCACAAUCUACAUAAUCAUUUGCAAAGGAGACCGCUUCGCAGAGGGGCCCUGGAUUUGAGCGCUCAGGAGGCAAAGUGAUCCUGGGGGUGCUUACCAAAGAACUGCUUUCUUUGCCUAGUUGUUGACAUUAACCAAGAUUUUCUUUUCUUUUUUUUUUUCUGGUUUUCAGAAUCGAACUCAGGACCUUGCGCUUGCCAGGCAGGUGUGGCAUCACUGAGCUACAUUCCAGGCCCUUCUUUUUUAUUAAAAAUAAAUUAAUGAAGCCUGCCCAGCCAGACUUCCCAAGUUGGUGUGGACUUCUUGGAGCCGUGUAUUGGCAACCAGGAUCUCACUCUGUACUUCAGAUUGGCCUUAGCCCAGCUGACCUCAAACUCAUGGUGAUCCUCCUGCCUCAGCUUCCCAAGUGCUGGGAUAACAGGCUAAUGGAACAAAACCCCACAGUGUGAGUGGCUUAUGAACAACAGAGAUUUAUUUCUCACAGUCCUGGAGGCUGAAGGUACAGGAUCAAGGCACUCAGACUCGGUAUCUGUCCAUGUAAGAAUAUGACCUGACGUGACACAUUCUGCUGACCUUCUACCUUUUGCUUACUGAUGAGAAUGAAAAGGAACUAUGCAUUGUCCUGUUUUUCCCUCUCUAAUGUCAUCAUUUCAGUGUGUGAGUCAGCUUUCCACUGCUGUAACAAAGACCUUAGAUGAAUCAGCUUAUAAAGAGAAAAGGUUUGUUUGGAUUCACAAUUUUGUAAGUUUUAGCCCAUGAUUUGUUGACCUUGUUGCUUUGGGUUUGUGGCAAAGCAACACAUCCUUGGGGGGAAGGAGGAGCAUGGCAAGCAAAACUGCUCAGCUCACCACCAGAAAAAGGAAGGGACUGGGGUCCUCUGCCCAUUUCAAGGCCCCCCAGUGAUCUAAAGCCUUUGGACUCAGCCUUGCCUCUUAGAGAUUCCACCACCUCCUGGCAGCACCUGGAUCCACACCUUUAACACAGACUGAGCCAUAGCAGGUGCCUAACACAGGUGUGUGAUUCAAAUGAAAAAGGAUAUGAUGGCUGGACUUGGUGGUGAGCAUCUGAAAUCCCAGCACUCUGGGAGGCUGAGACAGGAGGAAUACAGGUCUGUGCCCAGCCUGGGCAACUUAGUGAGACCUUUGUAAUGACUUUGUAUCAAAAAAAAAGAAAAGGUCUGGAGAGUUAGCUCAGCGCAGAGGCUCUUGGUUCAACCCCUAUUAUUAAAAAAAAAAAAAAAAUCCACCAACAAACAAAACUAACAAGGCCAGGAUAGCUGUUCUUACUGGUUACAACACAAAUAACUUCCUUUAAGAAAAACUUGUUUCAAAGGAAAAUGCAGGGGCUUGGGCCACCAGGAGUCACAGUGAAUGCCCAAGUACCAUAGGCCCAACCAGAACUCUGUGCGUGGUGUGUGACAAAUGUGACAUGCAAAUGGGUGGCAAGGAGUGGUGUGAGCACACACAAACACAUAUUGUAUGUCUUCCACUGUGCUCAUUCUCCAUUAAAAUUUUUUUCUUAAUUUUGAGACAGAGUCUCCCUUAACCACUAAAAAGCCCAGGCUGGAUUGAACUUGUGAUCCUCCUGCUUCAGCCUCCCAGAGGGCUGGGAUUAUAGGUGUGUGUCAUUCCCCCUAUCUUCUCCAUUACUUUAAGGGACUUUACUCAUAAAUCGCAGGUUCACAGAUAAAUGACUAGGAGUUUUAAGACAGCAAUAAGGGAAGAUGGAACUGAGAUAGGAGGUAGGGCAUGGCUUAGACUGGCUAGGAAGAGAGGUGGGGGGAUCCCAGGAUCUACACAGCUCUACCUCGCAGGACCCUGGAUGUAGAACUUCUGACAGGUUCCCACAAGAUGUGAACAGCAUAGAAGGACACAGAUGGCAGGAGGAGCCUGUUAUGGUGUCUCUUUCAUGGUAGCCUGCCCUGCGUCUUUCAGACCAGGGUGUACUUUGAUUUUUGUUUUUCUCUUUUCCUCUCUUGUUCAGCCCAAGUUUACACUGCAGAGGCAGUUGCUCCCUUACCCCUUCACCCCUCACUUUGCAAAUAAACCCUGUCACCGCUUUGAGCUUGCCUUGUUCAUUGCUUUGUUCAAGGUGAGAAGGUCCUGGAAUAUGUUUAAUCGGUGGGCCAUUUCUAAAAGAAGCUACCUUGGUGCAAGGAGAUCCUGCACUGAUCUAACUGUUGGCUGUGUUAUGGUGGGUGAUGGGGCCUGGGCAGGUUCCUGGGUGUGCGACUAACAAACAGUUGGACAUGACACAUGAUGUUCACCCUGUUAUGAUCACAUGUAUGAGAUGCAGUCCCUACACAUGAACCUCCAGUGAGCUCUAAGUGAGGAAAGGCUACAGGUCAUGCAGCAGGUCUGACCCUGCCAGGCUGACAGCACAUAACACAAACAGCCCUCUCCUUAAGCAGCCACCAGGCAGCGCAGGCAUCUUUUUCAUUUCGAGGCAUCAACUGAGGAUUGAUAAAGUCAUGGCGGGACAACUGUAGUCUGACCCCGAACUGACACAGCAG